UCCGAGUUGGCCCCGGCAGUCUCCUACGAGUCCCCGGCAUUACCCGCUGGCAACAUAGGACAAGGGUUGCGCUCGUUGCGGGACUUAACCCAACAUCUCACGACACGAGCUGACGACAGCCAUGCACCACCUGUAUACCGACAACAGGGGCUCUAUCUCUAGAGCUUUCCGGCAUAUGUCAAACCCAGGUAAGGUCCUUCGCGUUGCAUCGAAUUAAUCCGCAUGCUCCGCCGCUUGUGCGGGCCCCCGUCAAUUCCUUUGAGUUUCAGCCUUGCGGCCGUACUCCCCAGGCGGGGCACUUAUCGCGUUAGCUGCGGCACGGAAGGGGUCGAUCCCACCCGCGCCUAGUGCCCAUCGUUUACGGCGUGGACUAC
This 374-nucleotide unclassified non-coding RNA is filed under the name uncultured Propionibacteriales bacterium. RNAcentral's name for it is "contains 16S-23S intergenic spacer region". The record is from RNAcentral. Lineage: Bacteria; Bacillati; Actinomycetota; Actinomycetes; Propionibacteriales.